Molecule: ribosomal RNA, 511 nt
Filed under: uncultured bacterium
Lineage: Bacteria
Description: bacterial SSU rRNA
Rfam family: Bacterial small subunit ribosomal RNA
Source: RNAcentral
CGCUGGCGGCGUGCCUAAUACAUGCAAGUCGAACGGUCUUUCUAUGGAAGCUUGCUCCACUGAGAAGAUAGUGGCGAACGGGUGAGUAACACGUGGGUAACCUGCCCAUAAGAGGGGGGAUAACAUCCGGAAACGGGUGCUAAUACCGCAUAGUUUUCUUGAUCGCAUGAUCGGGAAAGGAAAGACGGCCUUUGUGCUGUCGCUUAUGGAUGGACCCGCGGCGUAUUAGUUAGUUGGUGAGGUAACGGCUCACCAAGACGAUGAUACGUAGCCGACCUGAGAGGGUGAUCGGCCACAUUGGGACUGAGACACGGCCCAAACUCCUACGGGAGGCAGCAGUAGGGAAUCUUCCGCAAUGGACGAAAGUCUGACGGAGCAACGCCGCGUGAGUGAAGAAAGGUUUUCGGAUCGUAAAACUCUGUUGUCAGAGAAGAACAAGUUGGAGAGUAACUGCUCCAGCCUUGACGGUAUCUGACCAGAAAGCCACGGCUAACUACGUGCCAGCAGCGGC